CCUACGGGAGGCAGCAGUAGGGAAUAUUGCUCAAUGGGGGAAACCCUGAAGCAGCAACGCCGCGUGGAGGAUGACGGUUUUAGGAUUGUAAACCCCCUUUGUUAGAGAAGUUUAUGACGGUAUCUAACGAAUAUGCAACGGCUAACACCGUGACAGCAGCCGCGGUAACACGGAGGCUGCAAGCGUUACUCGGAAUCACCGGGCGUAAAGAGUGCGUAGGCGGGGUAAUAAGUCAGAUGUGAAAUUCUGUAGCUUAACUACAGAACUGCAGUUGAAACUGUUACUCUUGAGUGUGGGAGAGGUAGGUGGAAUUCGUGGUGUAGGGGUAAAAUCCGUAGAGAUCAAGAAGAAUACUCAUUGCGAAGGCAGCCUGCUGGAACAUUACUGACGCUGAUGCACGAAAGCGUGGGUAGCAAACAGGAUUAGAUACCCGAGUAGUC
Molecule: ribosomal RNA, 440 nt
Filed under: uncultured bacterium
Lineage: Bacteria
Description: partial 16S ribosomal RNA
Rfam family: Bacterial small subunit ribosomal RNA
Source: RNAcentral